AAAAAAGGCCACAUUUCAGGUGUGAAGCAGAAUGUGUGCUCCUGGAAAGUGCAUCCAAGCAUAGUGAAAGCCCUGCAGAUAAGACUCCAGUUGAAGACACAGAAACUGAACAGGAAAGGAUUUUACUACGUGACAUCAUGGCUGCAGCUGAUCGGUGCCGAACUUUAAGCUUCAGUGGAAGUUGUGUUUCCACUUGUCUUAAUGAGCAAAGAUGAACAAAAUGAGACACGAAGGCUUUGCAAAGUUGGGAUGAGGAACUUGAUGAGAGUUCUCCAGCAGAUCUCUGAACUUUUAUUUUUGAAAGAAAGCAGGACUAUGAGAUGUUCUGCGUUGAAAUCAUUGCUAAAAAAACUACAAAGUUUUUGCCAGAUGUGAAGAUGAUUAAGAUUGUUCAAUGAUCAUAAUAAAACACAGCAUCUGGCAAACUGGCCAACUCCAGUGGAGAUUAUCUACAGACUCUGUCCUUUUUCUUUCUAAAAAUGUUAUUAAAGACAGCACUCUUUCUA
Melanotaenia boesemani (Boeseman's rainbowfish) is the source of this 506-nucleotide long non-coding RNA. RefSeq lists it as uncharacterized. NCBI's taxonomy places the organism in Eukaryota, Metazoa, Chordata, Actinopteri, Atheriniformes, Melanotaeniidae. The transcript is spliced from 3 exons. The record is from RefSeq and is a predicted model, not a curated record.